RNAcentral lists this ribosomal RNA (320 nucleotides) under uncultured eukaryote. RNAcentral's name for it is "partial 18S ribosomal RNA". It matches the Rfam family "Eukaryotic small subunit ribosomal RNA", at positions 1470 to 1796 of the family's 1831-position model. The record is from RNAcentral.
CCCUUAGAUGUUCUGGGCUGCACGCGUGUUACAAUCGGGAGUACAACAAGAUUGCAAAUCCUAGUGGAUGAGUGGUUCUUCGAAAUUUUCUGAAGACUGGGAUAGUUGAUUGAAAUUAUUCAACUCGAACGAGGAAUUCCUUGUAAUUGUAAUUCAUUAUAUUGUAAUGAAUACGUCCCUGCCCUUUGUACACAUCGCCCGUCGCUCCUACCGAUUGAACGAUCCGGUGAAUUAUUUGGAGUAGCUCUGGAAGUUGCAGAACUUCCUAUGUCACGAAAUUUUGUAAACCUUAUCGUUUAGAGGAAGGAAAAGUCGUAACA